RNAcentral lists this ribosomal RNA (433 nucleotides) under uncultured bacterium. RNAcentral's name for it is "partial 16S ribosomal RNA". It matches the Rfam family "Bacterial small subunit ribosomal RNA", at positions 29 to 507 of the family's 1533-position model. The record is from RNAcentral.
AACGAACGCUGGCGGCAUGCCUAACACAUGCAAGUCGAACGAGACCUUCGGGUCUAGUGGCGCACGGGUGCGUAACGCGUGGGAACCUGCCCUUAGGUUCGGAAUAACUCCCCGCAAGGGGUGCUAAUACCGGAUAAUGUCUUCGGACCAAAGAUUUAUCGCCUUUGGAUGGGCCCGCGUUGGAUUAGCUAGUUGGUAGGGUAAAAGCCUACCAAGGCGACGAUCCAUAGCUGGUCUGAGAGGAUGAUCAGCCACACUGGGACUGAGACACGGCCCAGACUCCUACGGGAGGCAGCAGUGGGGAAUAUUGGACAAUGGGCGAGAGCCUGAUCCAGCAAUGCCGCGUGAGUGAUGAAGGCCUUAGGGUUGUAAAGCUCUUUUACCCGGGAUGAUAAUGACAGUACCGGGAGAAUAAGCUCCGGCUAACUCCGUG